UAACCCUCAUCCAUGUGGUGUCAAAGCCGCAUGAAUGGACUUGGACGCUGCCGUAGCCGGCUCGUCUUGAAAUACAUUAGCUGUGCGCCCAUUAGUGUGCUCGGUGCUGCCGUGAUAAUUUCCUCGGCUCGCCUUAGGCCACUUCCAGUGACGCUGCUUCCAAUGGUCCCUCGCGGACAACUGACAUAAAG
This 191-nucleotide unclassified non-coding RNA is filed under the name uncultured Auriculariaceae. RNAcentral describes it as "sequence contains ITS2". Lineage: Eukaryota; Fungi; Basidiomycota; Agaricomycetes; Auriculariales; Auriculariaceae. The record is from RNAcentral.